RNAcentral lists this ribosomal RNA (3120 nucleotides) under Triticum aestivum (bread wheat). RNAcentral's name for it is "partial small subunit ribosomal RNA". Lineage: Eukaryota; Viridiplantae; Streptophyta; Magnoliopsida; Poales; Poaceae. The record is from RNAcentral.
AUGGCGGGGACCAUCUCCCGCAUCCGGCUGGAGAAUUUCAUGUGCCACUCCAGCUUGCACAUCGAGCUCGGCGAGCACGUCAACUUCAUCACCGGGCAGAACNNNNGCGGAAAGAGCGCGAUCUUGACGGCUCUGUGUAUCGCCUUCGGCUGCCGCGCCAAGAACACGCAGCGGGCCGCUACGAUUAAAGAUUUCAUCAAGACUGGCUGCAGUUAUGCCGCAAUUGCUGUUGACAUCAACAACCAAGGGGAAGACUCGUUCAAGCCUGAUUUAUACGGAAACUUAAUUAAACUGGAACGCAGGAUUACUGAGUCAUCGAGUUCUACGAUUUUAAAGGAUCAACAUGGUAGGAAGGUGGCAAAUCGCAAAGAUGAUCUUAAUGAGAUAAUCGAACAUUUUAAUAUCGAUGUUGAAAAUCCUUGUGUAAUUAUGAGUCAAGACAAAAGUAGAGAAUUCCUGCACUCAGGAAACGACAAGGAUAAGUUUAAGUUCUUUUUCAAGGCUACUCUUCUUCAACAAGUCAAUGAGUUACUGGAGACAAUAAGAGAUCAGCUGAACAAUGCAGACUCUGUUGUUCAAGAGUUGGAGAAGUCAAUUAAGCCAGUGAUGAGAGAACUUGAUGAACUACGAGAGAAGAUAAAGAAUAUGGAACACAUAGAAGAGAUAGCACAUGAUAUCGAUAAUUUGAAGAAAAAGUUAGCCUGGUCAUGGGUUUAUGAAGUCGACCAGCAAAUUGAGGAACAGACAGUGAGACUCCAGAAACUCAAAGAGCGAAUUCCUGCAUGCCAAGAAAGAAUUGACCGAAAUACAGUUGUUAUAGAUGACCUGAAGAAAGAGCUUACUGAAAAGGAAGAACUUGUAAGAUCUUUAGGCGAUAAGACUCAUGAAGUGACCAACAUGAAGAAAAGUAUGGAAGAUAAUAUUGCUGAGGUUGUGAAGUUGAAGAUAGAGCUAGAGGCAGAGCAUGAGCGUGGCACACGUACGCUGGAGAAAAUGAAUGGCCGGUUGAAACAAAUGCAGGCACAACUCCGUGAUUUCCAAAUGCAGCAUAUGCAAUUUACUCAAGCUGAGGCAUCUCAAAUUGAGGAAGACAUGCAGAACAUACAACGGGACAUUGAUUAUCUUGAUUCAAAUGUUACAAGGUUAAGAGAGGAAGAAAAAGAAUUUUCUGAAGAGUUAUCGGGCAUCCAAAAAUCUAUCAGUGACAUAGCAAAAGAGAUAGCUGAAAGUGAUAAAAGGAUACUCCAAUUGAAAUCUCACAUGGAUGGUCUUCAGCAGCGUCAAAGUAAUACGGUAACGGCAUUCGGGGGACAAAAACUUUUGAAACUCUUGCAAUUAAUAGAAUCAAACCACGGAAGAUUCAAAAGCCCGCCUAUUGGUCCGAUAGGGGCUCAUCUGCAACUCGCUAGUGAGUCCUGGUCUGUCGCGGUUGAUUGCGCAUGUGGAGGGCUUCUGGAUGCAUUUAUUGUCUCGUGUCAUAAGGAUUUACAAGUUUUGCGAGAAUGCGCGGGUAGAGUGUAUUACAAUAACCUUCGAAUUAUUGUGUAUGAUUUCACUAGACAGCGAUUGGUCAUUCCAGAUGGUUCACUUCCUACAACAGAGCACCCCACAGUACUAUCAGUUAUUCAGUCAGAGAACCACACUGUGCUGAAUGUAUUGGUGGAUCAGGGUCACGCUGAAAGGCAGGUCCUGGUUCGAGAUUAUGAAGUCGGAAAAUCUGUUGCAUUUGAUCACAGGAUGCGGAAUAUAAAGGAAGUCUAUACCUCUGAUGGGUUCAGAAUGUUUUCUAGAGGUUCUGUUCAGACUAUUCUUCCUCCAAACAAAAGGCCAAGACCUGAGCGUUGGUGCAGUUCACCCGCAGAAAAAAUAGCUGAACUGAAGAAUGAAGCUGACGGUAUUCAAAGAACAAUCUCGGAAAAGAAUGCUCAGAGAAGGAAGUUGGUUAAUGACCGAAGUAACCUUGAACAGAAAAUAGCAAAUUUGAAGAGAAAACGAGAACCUGAGGAGCGCCAUUUAAUGAAUAAAAAAGUGCAACUUGAAGACGCAAAGAGAGCUACUGCUGAAAAUAAUAGGCACGCUGCUGUGGAUACCACUGAACUAGAGGAGGACAUAAAGGAAGAGAAGAAUAACAUUGAGCAGAGAGAACUAUCACUGCAGAAGACUAAUGUGAAGUUGUCAGCAGCUUUACGAGAAGUCAAUGAUAGAAGAAUGGCUUUCAAGACCUUUAUGGAUUCUGUGAAUGAGGAGAGAUUACAUUUUAGCAGUGCAAAUGAUGAACUAGAUCUUGUUAAGCGUAAAAUAGAUGCAGCUCAGCAGGAGAAGACUCACUAUGAAGGUGUCAUGACAACUAAAGUUUUACCUGAUAUUAAAACGGCUGAAGCAGAGUAUGCAGAUCUUCAGCAGCGUCGGCAGGAGUACUUCAAGAAGGCUUCGAUUAUUUGCUCUGAGAGUGACAUGGAAGCUCUGAGUCAUGUUGCUGGAUCCACCCCUGAGCAAUUAAGUGCUAAGAUAAAUAGACUGAAACAGAGAUUUGAUCAAGAAAGCAGAAGAUAUGCUGAGUCCAUAGAUGAUCUGAGGGCAUUGCAUGACAAAAAGGAACGGAAAAUCUUAAGAAAGCAACAGCUGUAUGCAGGUUUUAGGGUGAAAUUAAAUUCGUGUCAAAAAGCAUUGGACUUGCGAUGGAAGAAGUUCCAGAGGAAUGCUGGCCUUUUGAAGCGACAAUUGACAUGGCUGUUUAAUGAGCACCUGGGAAAGAAAGGUAUCAGUGGGUUCAUCAACGUAGAUUACAAGAGUAAAAUUUUGUCUGUUGAGCUGACGAUGCCUCAAGAUGCAUCCCGUGAUACCGUCAGAGACACUAGAGGACUGUCAGGAGGGGAGCGAUCUUUUUCAACACUUUGCUUCACUUUAGCUCUUCAUGGAAUGACAGAAGCACCUUUUAGGGCCAUGGAUGAGUUUGAUGUAUUCAUGGAUGCGGUGAGCCGCAAAAUAAGCUUGGACACCCUCGUAGAUUUUGCUGUUGCACAAGGGUCACAAUGGGUAUUUAUAACACCCCAUGAUAUCAGCAUGGUGAAGCCUGGAGAUCGGGUCAAGAAGCAGCAAAUGGCCGCCCCUCGCGGUUGA